RNAcentral lists this ribosomal RNA (497 nucleotides) under uncultured bacterium. RNAcentral describes it as "partial 16S ribosomal RNA". It matches the Rfam family "Bacterial small subunit ribosomal RNA", at positions 28 to 507 of the family's 1533-position model. The record is from RNAcentral.
GAUGAACGCUGGCGGCGUGCCUAAUACAUGCAAGUCGAACGAACAGAGAAGGAGCUUGCUCCUCUGACGUUAGCGGCGGACGGGUGAGUAACACGUGUAUAACCUACCUAUAAGACUGGGAUAACUUCGGGAAACCGGAUCUAAUACCGGAUAAUAUAUUGAACCGCAUGGUUCAAUAGUGAAAUGCGGUUUUGCUGGCACUUAUCGCUGGAUCCGGGCCGCAGUAGCUAGUUGGUAAGGUAACGGCUUACCAAGGCAACGAUGCGUAGCCGACGUGAGAGGGUGAUAGGCGACCUUGGAACUGGGCCACGGACAAGACUACUAAGAGAGGCAGCAGAAGGGAAUCUUACGCAACGGGCGAAAGCAUGACGGAGCAACGGCGAGUGAGUGACGACGGUGCUCGGAGCGUAAAAACGUGUUAUUAGUGAAGAACAAAUGUGUACGUAAAUAUGCACGUAUUGACGGUACCUAAUCAGAAAGCAACGGCUAACUACGUG